GCACCUCCCCGUCUUGUAGGCCCAGUUGGUUAGAGCGCGCGCUUGAUAAGCGUGAGGUCGGAGGUUCAAGUCCUCCCAGGCCCACCAUUCCUUUCGACACGAAGGUUAUCAGGGGCCGUAGCUCAGCUGGGAGAGCGCCUGCUUUGCAAGCAGGAUGUCGUCGGUUCGAUCCCGUCCGGCUCCACCAACCAUCUUCUGCGAAGAUGGGGCGUGUCGAGUAGAGACGGUGAGAAAAAAGUCAUUCGAAAAAGAGUUUGCGUCGAGCCUCUUGGCUCUGCGCCUGUUCUGUUUGACAUCGUAAAGAGAAGAUUUGUUCGAACUUCAUGAGCCGCAAGGUCUCAUGAUUUGUCGCAAGGGACGCUCAAUCCCUUGCCUAUGAUGGGUUUGCCUAACCGCGCCCUCGAACGGAUCUCGAGAAGCUGGUCUUUUUGUGCCAAUUCCAACCAGUAAUACCCCGCACAGGGUGUUGCUGGAGCGACGAUCCUUCGGAUCGCGCUUAGCCAAUCCUGCAAGGGCGAGGCUGAAGCGACGAUCCCCGCGGGAUCGCGCGAUGAUGGGUAUUGGCAAUGAGAACGAUCAAGUGUCUUAAGGGCAAUUGGUGGAUGCCUUGGCAUGCACAGGCGAUGAAGGACGUGAUACGCUGCGAUAAGCUACGGGGAGGUGCGAAUACCCUUUGAUCCGUAGAUCUCCGAAUGGGGAAAAACCCGGA
RNAcentral lists this unclassified non-coding RNA (709 nucleotides) under Mesorhizobium plurifarium. RNAcentral describes it as "partial miscellaneous RNA". The stretch from base 575 to 709 matches the Rfam family "Bacterial large subunit ribosomal RNA", at positions 1 to 132 of the family's 2925-position model. Lineage: Bacteria; Pseudomonadati; Pseudomonadota; Alphaproteobacteria; Hyphomicrobiales; Phyllobacteriaceae. The record is from RNAcentral.